This 225-nucleotide ribosomal RNA is filed under the name uncultured bacterium. RNAcentral's name for it is "partial 16S ribosomal RNA". It matches the Rfam family "Bacterial small subunit ribosomal RNA", at positions 524 to 747 of the family's 1533-position model. The record is from RNAcentral.
GACAGAGGGUGCAAACGUUGCUCGGAAUCACUGGGCGUAAAGGGCGUGUAGGCGGGAAGGAAAGUCGGGCGUGAAAUCCCUGGGCUCAACCCCAGGAACUGCACUCGAAACUUCUUUUCUUGAGUGCCGGAGAGGAAAGCGGAAUUCCUGGUGUAGAGGUGAAAUUCGUAGAUAUCAGGAGGAACACCAGUGGCGAAGGCGGCUUUCUGGACGGUAACUGACGCU